GAGUWUGAUCCUGGCUCAGAACGAACGCUGGCGGCGUGMUUAACACAUGCAAGUSGAACGUGAUUGGAAGCUUGCUUCCAUGAAAGUGGCGCACGGGUGAGUAACGCGUGGAUAACCUGCCCUGGUAUCCGGAAUAACAUCUCGAAAGGGGUGCUAAUACCGGAUAAGCCUACGGAGCCUUCGGUCUCUGCAGGAAAAGGUGGCCUCUAUUUAUAAGCUACCGUAUCAGGAUGGGUCCGCGUACCAUUAGCUAGUUGGUGGGGUAAUGGCCUACCAAGGCGACGAUGGUUAGCUGGUCUGAGAGGAUGAUCAGCCACACUGGAACUGAGACACGGUCCAGACUCCUACGGGAGGCAGCAGUGGGGAAUUUUGCGCAAUGGGGGAAACCCUGAYSCAGCMAYUCCGCGUGAGUGAAGAAGGCCUUCGGGUUGUAAAGCUCUUUCAGUGGGAACGAAACGGUUCAAGUGAAUAACUUGGGCUAAUGACGGUACCCAAAGAAGAAGCACCGGCUAACUACGUGCCAGCAGCCGCGGUAAUA
RNAcentral lists this ribosomal RNA (538 nucleotides) under uncultured Geobacter sp. Its description in RNAcentral is "bacterial SSU rRNA". It matches the Rfam family "Bacterial small subunit ribosomal RNA", at positions 9 to 525 of the family's 1533-position model. The record is from RNAcentral. Lineage: Bacteria; Pseudomonadati; Thermodesulfobacteriota; Desulfuromonadia; Geobacterales; Geobacteraceae.